RNAcentral lists this non-coding RNA (864 nucleotides) under Cycloramphus boraceiensis (Boraceia button frog). Its description in RNAcentral is "partial 12S ribosomal RNA". It matches the Rfam family "Bacterial small subunit ribosomal RNA", at positions 306 to 1533 of the family's 1533-position model. The record is from RNAcentral. Lineage: Eukaryota; Metazoa; Chordata; Amphibia; Anura; Cycloramphidae.
CCCCAUAGGGAAAAGGAGCUGGUAUCAGGCACAAACUCUGCCCAAGACACCUAGCUACGCCACACCCACAAGGGAACUCAGCAGUGAUUAAUAUUGAAUAAUAAGCGACAGCUUGAUUCAGUUACAGAAUAUAGAGCCGGCAAAUCUGGUGCCAGCCGCCGCGGUUACACCACGUGGCUCAAAUUGAUUCUAAUUCGGCGUAAAGCGUGAUUAAAGCUUCUUUUAGAUUAGAGUUAAACUAAAAUUAAGCCGUGACACGCUUAUUACUUAAGGAAACCCGAAAACGAAAGUUACUCUAACUUCAUCAGCUUGAAUUCACGACAAUCGGAACACAAACUGGGAUUAGAUACCCCACUAUGUCCGAUCGUAAACUUUUACUUACACACUCUAUCGCCUGGGAACUACGAGCAAAGCUUAAAACCCAAAGGACUUGACGGUACCCCACAUCCCCCUAGAGGAGCCUGUCCUAUAAUCGAUAAUCCACGUUUAACCUCACCAUUUUUAGUUCUUCAGCCUGUAUACCUCCGUCGUCAGCUUACCUCGUGAGCGAACCAUAGUGAGCUUAAUGAUACCCCACCAACACGUCAGGUCAAGGUGCAGCAAAUAAAAUGGAAAGAGAUGGGCUACACUUUCUAAAAUAGAAUACACGAAAGAUUAUUUAUGAAACCUAAUCAGAAGGCGGAUUUAAUAGUAAAAAGAAACCAGAAUGUUCUUUUUAACCCGGCACUGGGGUGUGUACACACCGCCCGUCACCCUCCUCAAAGCUAAAAAACAGUAUCUAACUACUUUAAGCAUUAUAGAAGAGGCAAGUCGUAACAUGGUAAGUAUACCGGAAGGUGUGCUUGGAUCAUGGAAUAUAGCUUA